CGGAGGCUCAGAGAGGGAGUGUAGGGGGAGGAUGUCAAUGGGAGGCCCCAGCCUGAGCCCUGAGCAGCUGGCCAGCCAGGAACUGGCAUGUGAGUGAGAGGCAUCCUAUUCUCCUGCUGCUCCAAAGACAAUGCCCGCUGAACAGGAUGGCAGGCCACAUCAGCAGUCCAUACAGAAGUGAGGCUGUCGUUUCUUCCCCUGGAGCACCAGUGAGGACAGGCCCCAGCUGGGAGCCAGGCAAGCUUUGUGAUGGUCUGAGGUCCAUGAAGGGAUUAAAACCAGGAACUGGCUCCUUCUCCAACCACUAAAGCCUCAUCUGGGCCCACAAGCCCUGGCUGUUCCCUGGAGCGUGACUGGAAGAUGUGAGCAGCUUUGUGCUGGAGCCCCAUUUCCAUGGUGCAUGCUGCUGCCAAACCAGAGAUCACUUGUAGACUUGAAAGGGAACAUGAGC
Molecule: long non-coding RNA, 451 nt
Organism: Homo sapiens (human)
Lineage: Eukaryota; Metazoa; Chordata; Mammalia; Primates; Hominidae
Gene: ATP6V0E2-AS1
Product: ATP6V0E2 antisense RNA 1
Source: Ensembl